This 58-nucleotide ribosomal RNA is filed under the name Anopheles subpictus. Its description in RNAcentral is "partial 28S ribosomal RNA". The record is from RNAcentral. Lineage: Eukaryota; Metazoa; Arthropoda; Insecta; Diptera; Culicidae.
ACCGCCCCCCGUGAGGUGUGACUACCUGCAAAUUUACCCCAAGUUUUUAACACAAGCG